RNAcentral lists this RNase P RNA (336 nucleotides) under human gut metagenome. RNAcentral describes it as "Bacterial RNase P class A". It matches the Rfam family "Bacterial RNase P class A". From Rfam's summary of the family: Ribonuclease P (RNase P) is a ubiquitous endoribonuclease, found in archaea, bacteria and eukarya as well as chloroplasts and mitochondria. Its best characterised activity is the generation of mature 5'-ends of tRNAs by cleaving the 5'-leader elements of precursor-tRNAs. Cellular RNase Ps are ribonucleoproteins. The record is from RNAcentral.
AGCAGAGCGUGUGAUCGCGGCUGGCCCUUUUGGGUCAGGUGAGGAAAGUCCGGGCUUCGAAGGGCAGGAUGCCGGAUAACGUCCGGCGGAGGUGACUCCCGGGAAAGUGCAGCAGAAAUAUACCGCCCGAAAGGGUAAGGGUGAAAAGGCAGUGUAAGAGACUACCGCCAUCCUGGUAACAGGGUGGGUCCAUGUAAACCCCAUCCGAAGCAAGAUCAGACAGAAAACCAUGCGGCGGCCCGUCGCGUUUUCGGGUAGAUCGCUUGAGGCUGCAGGUAACUGCAGUCCUAGACAGAUGAUCACACUAGACAUAACCCGGCUUACAGCUCUGCUCAU